UUCUCCUGGAAAACGGGUGGUAAUGCCGGAUGCUCCAGUUGACCGCAUGGUCCUCUGGGAAAGCUUUUGCGGUAUGGGAUGGGGUCGCGUCCUAUCAGCUUGAUGGCGGGGUAACGGCCCACCAUGGCUUCGACGGGUAGCCGGCCUGAGAGGGCGACCGGCCACAUUGGGACUGAGAUACGGCCCAGACUCCUACGGGAGGCAGCAGUGGGGAAUAUUGCACAAUGGGCGCAAGCCUGAUGCAGCGACGCCGCGUGCGGGAUGACGGCCUUCGGGUUGUAAACCGCUUUUGACUGGGAGCAAGCCCUUCGGGGUGAGUGUACCUUUCGAAUAAGCACCGGCUAACUACGUGCCAGCAGCCGCGGUAAUACGUAGGGUGCAAGCGUUAUCCGGAAUUAUUGGGCGUAAAGGGCUCGUAGGCGGUUCGUCGCGUCCGGUGUGAAAGUCCAUCGCUUAACGGUGGAUCCGCGCCGGGUACGGGCGGGCUUGAGUGCGGUAGGGGAGACUGGAAUUCCCGGUGUAACGGUGGAAUGUGUAGAUAUCGG
RNAcentral lists this ribosomal RNA (545 nucleotides) under Bifidobacterium adolescentis. RNAcentral's name for it is "partial 16S ribosomal RNA". It matches the Rfam family "Bacterial small subunit ribosomal RNA", at positions 145 to 700 of the family's 1533-position model. The record is from RNAcentral. Lineage: Bacteria; Bacillati; Actinomycetota; Actinomycetes; Bifidobacteriales; Bifidobacteriaceae.